CUGGAGAGCGAUGCUCUGCUCCUGGAGACAAGUGGAUGGACAGCGUAAACUAUGACUCAUCCAUUCUGAGGCGUGCGGGCUUUCGCUCCAUCUCAACUUGCCCAGCCCGUCCGGCGGGAUGGAUCCCUGGGGGACUGUGCUGGUUUGUGUCCACGGUUGCAGCCCUGCUCAGUCUGCAAACCCCACAUUCAGUACACGUUGAACCCGAGCUCAGCCCCAGUUCCCGGUUCUGGUACCACAGUGCAUUGUGAGAUCCACAGGCAUGUGCUGUUGUGGGACAGGCCACUCGCUCUAGUACAGCACUAGCUCCUCUUGGCCAUUGAGAGCAAUGGCUGAGUUGCUUCACUUGGUUUUGGUAUUUUUUACAUAGUGCCUUUCUUUUAUCAAUUGCAAAAUUUUCUUAAAUUCUCCCUAGUGGCAUAACAUCUGAGAUACUGAGUGCAGUCCGUGCACAUGCACUUCUUGUGCAUAACCAUGUGUAUUUACUCUUUGUAACACACCUGAAUGUUCUUUUAGGUGACAACACCAGAAUGAAGUGUUUCCCACAUGCUACUCUCAGAAGCAGCUGUUUCUUAGCCAGAAUCAAAGUGAGUUUUCACUGGUCCUUCCCAUGACACACUGGUAUAUAGCUGUGAGUCCUGCUGCCAUUUGUACCAUUUCCCCUUCAGCAGGAGGGAUUUACUUCUUUCCAUGAGUGACUUAUCCAGGCAGAGUCAUAAACAAGAGAGAGAAAGAGCUAUCAGGCAUAAUUUGAACAUUAUUAGUGUUCUUGAAUGAUGGAGCAAUCUCUCCCUUGAGUUUUCUAUGAAGUAAAAAUGAAAACAUAAUUGAACAAGUACCCUUUUAAAGCUAUAACAAUGCAUGACACUGCAGUGUAGUGUUUGUCUCAUCAACAUUUAACUCUCAUUUACAACAAUUCUUUCUCCUGGUAACAUUGUUACAGCAGUAUCUUGUGGAAAGGGGGAAAAGGUGCUCAUUUCUGCCCGAUGCUACCUGCCUAUUCCCGAUCCCUCUCGAAGGUAUCUUCCCCUUCCCAGCAUGGUUACUGUCAGUUUUGUUUAGCCGGAGUGUCUGAAUAGUGUUAGUGACCAGGAUGUCAUAUUGAACACGGUGAAAUGGCAAAGGCUUUAGAAAGCAGGAAUGCACCCAUGCCUAUCCAGAGCUCUGUAUGCCAUGGGAAGGCUUGGUGUGUGCCUUGGACAUGUUGGCAAACAUCUACGAUAACGUCACUUUCAUAGAGCCCCCCCAGAA
This 1251-nucleotide long non-coding RNA is filed under the name Cyanistes caeruleus (blue tit). RNAcentral's name for it is "lncRNA (ENSCCEG00000005140.1)". Lineage: Eukaryota; Metazoa; Chordata; Aves; Passeriformes; Paridae. The record is from RNAcentral.